This is a long non-coding RNA of Mauremys reevesii (Reeves's turtle), 365 nucleotides long. RefSeq lists it as uncharacterized. NCBI's taxonomy places the organism in Eukaryota, Metazoa, Chordata, Testudines, Geoemydidae. The transcript has 3 exons. The record is from RefSeq and is a predicted model, not a curated record.
AUGACUUCACGGAUGCUUGAGUACCAACAUCAUCCCAGCAAAAGGGCUAAGGCAGGGACUUCACAGAAGCUUGGCCCUUAACACCAGCCCAACAAGACAGUUUUGGUGAACAGGGUGAGCAGAUUGUCAAAAUGCCAGGAUACUUGGCAUGUAGCACAGACAAGGAAAUUUGAAGUAAAGGAGGAGGAAUCAGGAGCUCUGGGUUCUCUGCCACAAUUCAACUCCAUUACCCUGGGAGGAUUCACUGCCCCUGGAACCCUGGGUGUAUUCUUCUCCUUCCCUUCCCCGACAAAGCAAUGAGGUCUCAAGAAGAGGUCAGAUCUACCCUGGGUCCCAGAGAUUCCAAGUCACUUGAUGGUACCAGC